Molecule: long non-coding RNA, 260 nt
Filed under: Phoenix dactylifera (date palm)
Lineage: Eukaryota; Viridiplantae; Streptophyta; Magnoliopsida; Arecales; Arecaceae
Description: long non-coding RNA (PDAC_LNC000723)
Source: RNAcentral
GCGUAUGAAUGUGAACAAUGAGAGAGACGCAUUUGUAUCUUUGAAACCCAUUUUAAGGGGCAUUGGGCGAGAAAUCGUCCAUAGAUAAUCGAACUAUCAUACGCCUUGGAAAUGAUAUGAGGUGUUCGGAAAUGGUUGAAGUAGUUGAAUAGGAGGAUCACUAUGACUAUAGCCCAUGGUAGAUUUACCAAAGAAGAAAAUGAUUUAUUUGAUAUCCAUCACAAUUAUUAAUUACAAUGUGAUAGCCAAACCAUCUCCUG